RNAcentral lists this unclassified non-coding RNA (146 nucleotides) under fungal sp. RNAcentral's name for it is "partial internal transcribed spacer region". The stretch from base 1 to 46 matches the Rfam family "Eukaryotic small subunit ribosomal RNA", at positions 1786 to 1831 of the family's 1831-position model. Lineage: Eukaryota; Fungi. The record is from RNAcentral.
AAGUCGUAACAAGGUUUCCGUAGGUGAACCUGCGGAAGGAUCAUUAAAGUGAAAAGAUUUACACACCGUGCAAAACAAUACUCUAAUAGAUUAUAGCUGAAAUAAAGAAAUAAAAACAACUUUUAGCAACGGAUCUCUAGGUUCUC